RNAcentral lists this ribosomal RNA (400 nucleotides) under uncultured bacterium. Its description in RNAcentral is "bacterial SSU rRNA". It matches the Rfam family "Bacterial small subunit ribosomal RNA", at positions 355 to 772 of the family's 1533-position model. The record is from RNAcentral.
UAAGGAAUAUUGGACAAUGGGGGAAACCCUGAUCCAGCCAUGCCGCGUGAAUGAAGAAGGCCUUAGGGUUGUAAAGUUCUUUUAGUGGUGACGAUAAUGACGGUAACCACAGAAAAAGCUCCGGCUAACUCCGUGCCAGCAGCCGCGGUAAUACGGAGGGAGCGAGCGUUGUUCGGAAUUACUGGGCGUAAAGCGUGCGCAGGCGGCUUAGCAAGUCAGAAGUGAAAGCCCUGGGCUUAACCCAGGAAUUGCUUUUGAAACUGCUAGGCUAGAGUAUCGGAGAGGUUGGCGGAAUUCCCAGUGUAGAGGUGAAAUUCGUAGAUAUUGGGAGGAACACCAGUGGCGUAAGCGGCCAACUAGACGAUAACUGACGCUCAGGCACGAAAGCGUGGGGAUCAAA